RNAcentral lists this ribosomal RNA (444 nucleotides) under uncultured bacterium. RNAcentral describes it as "bacterial SSU rRNA". It matches the Rfam family "Bacterial small subunit ribosomal RNA", at positions 338 to 795 of the family's 1533-position model. The record is from RNAcentral.
CCUANGGGUGGCUGCAGUCGAGAAUAUUCCACAAUGGACGAAAGUCUGAUGGAGCGACGCCGCGUGCGGGAUGAAGGCCCUUGGGUUGUAAACCGCUUUUGUGAGGGAAAAAUUUACAUGAUGGUACCUUACGAAUAAGAGGUUACUAACUCUGUGCCAGCAGUAGCGGUAAUACAGAGACCUCAAGCGUUAUCCGGAUUUAUUGGGCGUAAAGAGCUGGUAGGUGGUUAUAUUAGUCAGAUGUCAAAUCUUCGAGCUCAACUCGAAAACUGCAUUUGAAACGGUAUAACUAGAGGGUGUGAGAGAUCUAUGGAACUCAUGGUGUAGCAGUGAAAUGCGUUGAUAUCAUGGGGAACACCAAAGGCGAAGGCAUUAGAUUGGCACACUCCUGACACUGAGCAGCGAAAGCGUGGGUAGCGAAUGGGAUUAGAUACCCCANUANUC